AGAGUUUGAUCAUGGCUCAGAGCGAACGCUGGCGGCAGGCUUAACACAUGCAAGUCGAACGGGCGUAGCAAUACGUCAGUGGCAGACGGGUGAGUAACGCGUGGGAACGUACCUUUUGGUUCGGAACAACCCAGGGAAACUUGGGCUAAUACCGGAUAAGCCCUUACGGGGAAAGAUUUAUCGCCGAAAGAUCGGCCCGCGUCUGAUUAGCUUGUUGGUGAGGUAACGGCUCACCAAGGCGACGAUCAGUAGCUGGUCUGAGAGGAUGAUCAGCCACAUUGGGACUGAGACACGGCCCAAACUCCUACGGGAGGCAGCAGUGGGGAAUAUUGGACAAUGGGCGCAAGCCUGAUCCAGCCAUGCCGCGUGAGUGAUGAAGGCCCUAGGGUUGUAAAGCUCUUUUGUGCGGGAAGAUAAUGACGGUACCGCAAGAAUAAGCCCCGGCUAACUUCGUGCCAGCAGCCGCGGUAAUACGAAGGGGGCUAGCGUUGCUCGGAAUCACUGGGCGUAAAGGGUGCGUAGGCGGGUCUUUAAGUCAGGGGUGAAAUCCUGGAGCUCAACUCCAGAACUGCCUUUGAUACUGAGGAUCUUGAGUUCGGGAGAGGUGAGUGGAACUGCGAGUGUAGAGGUGAAAUUCGUAGAUAUUCGCAAGAACACCAGUGGCGAAGGCGGCUCACUGGCCCGAUACUGACGCUGAGGCACGAAAGCGUGGGGAGCAAACAGGAUUAGAUACCCUAGUAGUCC
Molecule: ribosomal RNA, 744 nt
Filed under: uncultured bacterium
Lineage: Bacteria
Description: bacterial SSU rRNA
Rfam family: Bacterial small subunit ribosomal RNA
Source: RNAcentral